CACGCUGAGUCACGUGAGGCUGGGUGGUGGCGCCUCAGGGGUGGCGGGAGUCCUGCUGCUGCAGCCCCGGGGCCCCGGUGCAUAGAGCUCUGCCCUAGUUAUUGAACCAAUGAAUAACUCCUUUGGGAUUUGGCUUAAAAUGCACACGGAGAGUUUUGAUAACAGCCACAGCCGUUUACUUAUGGAGAAAACAAGCCUCUGAGCACAAACACUGCUCCUGCCCGGGUACCUGGCUGCCCCUCUUGGGAGCCCCAAACACCACAUGGGCUGCACACGGCGCACACUCCCGCCGGCUUUCGGGGAGAGGAGGCCCGUUCACAGGCUGGAAGUCGAACGCCUCUGCCUCCUGCUCCAACCUGCUUCCCUCCCCGAAGGCUCCUUUAGGCCUGUAGCAUCUCAGGAGGCCCCCGUCACUCCAGACAGCCCACCUCUUUUCUAGCCUGUUCUGCCUUCUGCAGGGCCGUGCCGAGAUGGGCUCCCGGCAGCCGGCCCCUGUCCAUCUGGGCUGGGGAGGGGCCUGCCUGGGUCUGGGGGAGCAGGGUUAGGGGACGGCUCCUGAUGGGGGAGGUGCUGAGUGGGGACGGGCUCUUCCCGCAGGCUCUGCGCAGGCCUAGAGCGGGCGCGGGGGCGGAAAAGCGCUGACGAGAGCCCCUCAGCUGCGGGGUUUAUGCGACCUUCAGCCUGACGGGACGGCAGAGACGGUGUGAUUCAGUUCACAAACCUGGAGAAGCAGAACGGCCAUGCCACCCGAACCCCCCCAGAAGUUAGUUUUUUGCCGCUGCUACCUUUUCCGUUACUCAUGUCUCCCGUCCUCUCACGAGCCCACUUCGACUGUCAACUAGUGGUGUAAAACGUAGUAUUUCACCCCAGAUGCACUUCAGACUCUUGCAGCUGGUGUCAUUUAAUACUUACGAGACCUUUAAACAUGUCUAUUUAUGAGAGACAGAAAGGGGGUGAGGCACAGAAGAUGAAUCUAUUUCCUGAUUUGACAAGUAACCGUAAGAAACUAAAAGCAAAAUAAUAAAUUUAAACUAGCAUCAGAAUGAGGAUACGAUAUUCCCUAGUUUGUCACAGAAUCUACCAGCCACACCUGCCCUCCACACGGGGAGGACGACCAUAAUGGGUUUUGAUUGAAAGGAGCCUUCGAGGCUCCCUGCGAGCUGCAAACAGCCCCCCGUCUACGUGUGUGGCUGCGGAGCGGGGAGCCCCUUGGCGUCAGGCCAGAGCGUCCCGCAGACCUCCCGGGAGGGGCCCCUGCCCGCAGUGGCCAGGCCGAGGGGAGCCAUCUGACGGGCCCUCUGCCCUGAAUGACCCAGCCCCAAGUGACCUAGCUUUUCGGAGAUGCCUCUUCUUUCAGGUCCCAUGUUGGGGGCUUGGCCCAGGCCGGGGAAGAGACUCAGAACCCACUGGGCUUGGACGACUGCCCACCCGCAGUGCCUGCCCUGAUGAGGGCAGCUCCUAAGGGUAGCGGUUCCUGGAUGUCUCGGGCUUGUCUACACUUAACUGUGCUGCUGGAAGCAAAGGUAGGAACCGGGGCAGGGGACCCCCCCCCCCCGCCGCCCCCUCAUGCCUCAGCCUCAGGCAGUCUACACAGGAGCUCCUGUCUCCACUCGCACCCUUUCCUCGCCUGUCCUGGGAGCAAGGCUGCUUCUGAAGCCGAAGAGUGACAGGCCCCCAGGCCUCUGGCUCGGGCCAACCCCACUCCACCGCCCCCGGCCGCCCCAUGGCUGGGUCCCUCAGGGCUCGAUCUGCCUCACGGAGCUCUGUGAUCCCCAAAGGCAACGUGGCCCGUUGUGGGGGCGGGAAGGCUUAUGCCCCCAUGACCUCUACCUGGCCUUCCUCAGCACAGUGCCGAGGCCCUGGGAAGUGGCAGGGAGCCGGGGCUCGGCCUGUCUUCCUGCGUCUCCUGCACCCCCUGGCUGGACACGCUGCACAGGGGUCAGGACCAGACCUUAAGACCUGUAGCUAAAGUCCAAAGAAAAACCCCAGCAGCUAAGAGGAAACGAAUUGCAACGGCCCGCCUGCCUGAGGUGAAGAGUUCAACUGGAUUUGAGGUCGGUGAGCGAUGCUGCAACCUUUCCUGCACAAAUGGGGCGGGCCUACUCGGCUCCUGCCUGAAAGAUGGGGUCAGAUGCCAUCUGGCCUCGAGACAGCUUCUCCUGGGUCAACCGGCCGCUGCCCACUGCUCUUGGGUCUGGAUCCCCCUCAGUGUGCGGUCAUGUAACUUGUAAUGAAACUGCCCCCCGCCCCAGCGAAGCUUUCCACGUCCUCGCCUACAGGUGAAAUGGUGGGCAUUGGCAGAAUUACCUCCAGAAGCACAAAAUUGCUGCUCUGAAGGAACCCUGCUGAUCAUUUGGUCCUGUGGUCACUUAAGGGUCCUGAGACCUUGUUAAAUGCAGACUCUUGGUCCCUCCCCGAGAUGCUAAGAUGCCGUCAUGCUGGCUUGUAGAGGGAGCUGGGACUCUGAACUUUCAGCAAGCCCUCGAAGUUCCUCCGUGGACAAACCCAGGGCGGGGAGUCACCGGUUUGCCGUCUGCCGUCUUUCACCAGCACGCAAGCUGGAGUCGCGGGCCACGCUGGGCAGAUCCGGGCCACCGUGUGUGCUCUGGCUGGGGGGUGCCGUCCCCUCAGGGCCUCACGCUGCCUCCCGCAGCUCAGCCCUUUGGCGUCUUCUCUUUAGCUGCCCUGCCUGGAGGGUGGGGUGGGCAGGAGCAGCAACAUCCCCUUGAAAAAACUGGCUUCCUUGGGAAUUCUUAAAUCGAAACCUUACUAAAAAUACAAGCAGGAUAAAAGUCCUGACUUCUUCCCCAUAAGAAGCACCAGAAUGAAGAGAGAACGAAAUUUUCCUCAACUCAUGAUUCAUUGAAACGCUCAUGCUCCAAAUUACUCUUUAAAAAGCACAGACUGAUUUUUGGCAUCAUUAUUAGCAAUGAUUAUACAGGUGGACCUUGUUUCACUGUGCUGCACAGAAAUUGAGUUUUUUACAAAUUGAAGGUUUGUGGCAAUCCCGUGUCGAGCAAUUGUAUUGGCGCCAUUUUUCAAACAGCAUUACUUUUUAAUUAAGUGGUCUGGAACCAAACCCAGGGUAUCUUGGAGGUUUGCCUGUAACAGGAACCGAAUCACUAAGCGUGCUGGCCAAACAUGCAGCUUAACCUGAGAAAGGGGCCUGCAAAAGCUCCGGCACCAAGUUGGUGCUCCACAGAUACCUGUGGAAGAGCAACUAAGCACAGCUCCAAGCCUACAGCAGCAGCCAGAGAGAUGACAGCUCAGCCGAUAAUCUCAUCAAGAACAACACAGACAGGUAAAGCCUCCCUCCUCAUGGGUGUGUAAAUGAGACACAUUCAUGUUCUUGAAGUGAGCGUCACUUUCUGGACCAUAAAUGUGCCGGUCACAUGUAUAGGAUCACAGGAAACACACCGUAACAUGGGCUGUAUGUCAGAAGUUUCAGGAGUUUGGAGUUCCAGACGGUUCCCUGCCCUGCUAACAGUGCAGACCUGGGUCCAGCCCCUCAGGAUGUCACCCAGUGGAGACAGGAAUCUCAGCCCCCCAAGCCCUCAGGGGUGGCUCUGGUGAAGGGAAGGUGGUAUGCAGGUAGAGCUGGGUGGAAAGAAGAUGACAAGGGAAAGUCAAGGGCCACCAGGAAAGUUGCCAGAUCAUCAUCUUGGUCCCAGCUGGAAACCAAGACUCCUCCAAGAAGGUCCAAACCCAGCUCCCAGACCUGGUGGCCAGGCCCAGCUUGCCCCACCAGUGAGAUGCCAGUGUCCACGAGUUCAUUAACUGCGUGAGCUGAUCCUGGGGAAGAUAAAUGUCAGUUCAACUUAAAAAAAAAAUUAAAGUCUACUUCUUAAAUCAUCUUUUGGGAGGAGAAGAUCAAGAUGGCAGGGUGGAAGGAUGUGGAGCUCACCUCCCCCCACAAAUAUGUCAAAAAUACAUCUACAACUGGAACAAUUCUCACAGAACACCAACUGAAAGUGCUAAAUGAAAAAGUGGAGGAAGCAGUCCCAAUUAAAAGAAAAAGAGAAGUCACCUGAAAGAACAAACUGAAUACCAACUGAAAGCGGGCAGAAGAUCUCAUACAACUAAAGCUGUAAGAAAGAUCCCCAUGUAACCUGGUAAGACUAAAGGGAAAAAAGGGGGGGAAUCAAGGUGGGACCUGUGCUCCUGGGAGGGAGCCAUGAAAGAGGAACGGUUUCCUUACCCUGGGAACCUCCUUCGCCGGUUGGGAGCUCAGCCAGGACAGAUAGGUGGCUGCAGGGGCCUGGAAUUUGCCCAAGAGGAGUGUGCACAGGCUGGCUUGCUUCCAAGCAGGAAUAGAGAGGAACCGACACUGACUGCUGCCACGUCACCACACUUCCCAGCCCAAGACACGCACUUACUGGUGUGCGCAGUGCCUGGGUACUGAAACUUGGGCUUCGGCGGACAGACUCGAGGAGCGGACUUGGUUUGGCUAUUUGGACAUAGCCCGAAGGGCCUAGGAUGUGGUCCAGGCCGCAAAUGGGGGUGUGUGUGGGACAGAGCGUGGGUCCGUCAUGGAAGCCUCAUUCACACCAUGCUCACAGUGGGCACAGCUUCCGGAGCUCCCACUUUGUGAGUGUGCACAUGCUGAAGGCAGGCAGAGCUGACACACGCACUCUUGCAGUAGAGACUAGGCCGAUUUUGUGGGUGUGCACGCCAGGUGGUGGGUGGCGUCACAGAGUUGCCUGUCCCAGCAAACAGGUCCCGCAGAGGAACACCCAGCGGCUCCUUUCCGGGGGAGUGCUCCAGUCUCACCUACCUCACACUGCAGCUUAGAACCGGACCUGGGGGUUUUUAUUCCAACAACUGGGGAGCAAACCCUACCCCCGACAGGGCUGUGACAACCAAAGAGGAAGCCCCGCCCAAUAUCCAGUGCAGGCUCUGGUCACCACAGCACCAAACACACCCCUUAUCAAGGGGACAAUGGGCAGCACGCUCUGAGCAAAGUCAUGGCAGGCAUCCACACCAAAUACAGCCCUUGCAUCAAAAAUAUUGGACUUACACAGUCUACAAAGGGAUGCUCCCACAUAAAAACAUCCUUUCAAGACCACAGUACGUAACUGUUUCUCCUAAAUUCUUAGCGUAAGAGAAAUGAAAGUAAAAUGACAAAGCAGAGGAAGUACUCCCAAUUAAAAGAAAAGAAGAAGUCCCUGAAAGAAAAAACAAUGAAACAGAGCUCUCCAGUCUACCAGACCCCUGAGUUCAAAAAGGAGGUAAUAAAAAUGCUGAAGGAAUUAAGAAAGACUAUCAGUAGAAAUGGAGAUCACUGUAACAAGGAACUAGAAACCAUAAAGAGACAAUCAAAAUUAGACAACUCAAUUGCCAAGAUAAAAACCGAGCUAAAGGCAAUAAAUAGCAAACUAAAUAAUGCAGAAGAACGAAAAGUGAUCUGUAAGACAGAAUUAAGUCACCCAAUCAGAACAGCAGACAGAAAGACAAAUGAAAAAAAUGAAAGCAACAUACGAGACAUAUAGGAUAAUAUAAAGCAUGCCAAUCUACACAUAAUAGGAAUUCCAGAAGGCGAAGAAAGGGAAAAGUGGAUCAAGAUGUAUUUGAAGAAAUUAUGGCUGAAAACUUUCCAAACCUAAAGAAGGAAACAGAUAUCCAGGUACAAGAAGUACAGAGAGUCCCACACCAAGACAUAUCAUAAUUAAAAUGGCAAAAGUUUAGAAUCCUCUAUAAGGCAGCAAGAGAAAAAGAGUCAGUUACAAGGGAACCCCCAUAAGGCUAUCAACUGAUUUCUCUACAGAAACAUUGCAGGCCAGAAGGGAGUGGCAAGCUCUAUUCAAAGUCCUGAAAGGGAAAAAUCCGCAACCUAGGAUACUCUACCCAGCAAGAUUAUCAUUUAGAUUAAAAGAAGAGAUAAAGAAUUUCUCAAUCAAAAACUAAAAGAAUACAGCACUACGAACCCUAUCUUAAAAGAAAUAUUGAAAGGUCUUCUUUAAAUAGAAAUGAAGCAAGAACCUAUAAGAAAGGGGAAAAUCACAAUAGGAAAGGCAAAUAUAUGAAAGGAUUGAAGGUCAGUUAAAUAAGCCAGUACAUAGAUUAAAAAAAUUUUUUUUUCAAUUUUGUGAAUGUGGUUACAACUACAAGGAACAGCAAAUGGAUAAACAUGAAGAUGUAAAAUGGACAUCAAAAUCACAAAGUGUGGAGAAGGGUAGUAGGAUAAUGUACAUCUUUUAGAAUGUAGAGCUUUCAUGACUAUCAGUCUAAAGCAAGUAGUUAUAGUUAUGGGUUACCAUACUUGAAAACCAGGGUAACCACAAAUUAAAAACAUACAAUAACAGAAACAUAGAUCAAUGGAACAAGAUAGAAAGCCCAGAGAUAAACCCAAGCACCUAUGGUCAACUAAUCUAUGACAAAGGAGGCAAGGAUAUACAAUGGAGAAAAGACUGUCUCUUCAAUAAGUGGUGCUGGGAAAACUGGACAGCUACAUGUAAAAGAAUGAAAUUAGAACACUCCCUAACACCAUACACAAAAAUAAACUCAAAAUGGAUUAGAGACCUAAAUGUAAGACAAGACACUAUAAAACUCUCAGAGGAAAACAUAGGAAGAACACUCCUGGACAUAAAUCACAGCAAGAUCUUUUUUGAUCCACCUCCUACAGUAAUGGAAAUAAAAACAAACAAGUGGGACCUAAUGAAACUUCAAAGCUUUUGCACAGCAAAGGAAACCAUAAACAGGACAAAAAGACAACCCUCAGAAUGGGAGAAAAUAUUUGCAAACGAAUCAAUGGACAAAGGGUUAAUCUCCAAAAUAUAUAAACAGCUCAUGCAGCUCAAUAUUAAAAAAACAAA
Physeter macrocephalus (sperm whale) is the source of this 6812-nucleotide long non-coding RNA. RefSeq lists it as uncharacterized. The record is from RefSeq and is a predicted model, not a curated record. The transcript is spliced from 3 exons. Lineage: Eukaryota; Metazoa; Chordata; Mammalia; Artiodactyla; Physeteridae.